GUACGAGUGCGUCCCUCCCGAAGCUGCGCUCGGUCGAAGAGGACGACCUUCCCCGAAUAGAGGAGGACCGGUCUUCGGUCAAGGGUAUACGAGUAGCUGCGCUCCCCUGCUAGAACCUCCAAACAAGCUCUCAAGGUCAGGAUGAAAUAUUUUAAUGUAGGAGAAAACUGUUACACAGCAGAUACAAAGAGAGAUACAUUCAUUCCCACAUUCAUGAAU
This 219-nucleotide small nuclear RNA is filed under the name Mesocricetus auratus (golden hamster). Its description in RNAcentral is "7SK RNA". It matches the Rfam family "7SK RNA". From Rfam's summary of the family: 7SK was discovered as an abundant small nuclear RNA in the mid-70s but a possible function has only recently been suggested. Two independent studies have found that 7SK RNA binds the CDK9/cyclin T complex (known as elongation factor P-TEFb). Lineage: Eukaryota; Metazoa; Chordata; Mammalia; Rodentia; Cricetidae. The record is from Rfam by way of RNAcentral.